RNAcentral lists this ribosomal RNA (466 nucleotides) under uncultured bacterium. Its description in RNAcentral is "bacterial SSU rRNA". It matches the Rfam family "Bacterial small subunit ribosomal RNA", at positions 926 to 1391 of the family's 1533-position model. The record is from RNAcentral.
CAAGCGGCGGAGCAUGCGGAUUAAUUCGAUGCAACGCGAAGAACCUUACCAAGGCUUGACAUUCACCGGACCGCCCCAGAGAUGGGGUUUCCCUUCGGGGCUGGUGGACAGGUGGUGCAUGGUUGUCGUCAGCUCGUGUCGUGAGAUGUUGGGUUAAGUCCCGCAACGAGCGCAACCCUCGUUCUAUGUUGCCAGCACGUGAUGGUGGGGACUCAUAGGAGACUGCCGGGGUCAACUCGGAGGAAGGUGGGGAUGACGUCAAAUCAUCAUGCCCCUUAUGUCUUGGGCUUCACGCAUGCUACAAUGGCCGGUACAAAGGGUUGCGAUACUGUGAGGUGGAGCUAAUCCCAAAAAGCCGGUCUCAGUUCGGAUUGAGGUCUGCAACUCGACCUCAUGAAGUCGGAGUCGCUAGUAAUCGCAGAUCAGCAACGCUGCGGUGAAUACGUUCCCGGGCCUUGUACACACC